Molecule: ribosomal RNA, 250 nt
Filed under: uncultured bacterium
Lineage: Bacteria
Description: partial 16S ribosomal RNA
Rfam family: Bacterial small subunit ribosomal RNA
Source: RNAcentral
UACGGAGGAUGCAAGCGUUAUCCGGAAUCAUUGGGCGUAAAGCGUUCGUAGGUGGCUGUGCAAGUCUGCCGUUAAAGACAGUGGCUUAACCACUGAAAGGCGGUGGAAACUGCGCAGCUAGAGUGCGGUAGGGGGUAGAGGGAAUUCCCGGGUGUAGCGGUGAAAUGCGUAGAGAUCGGGAAGAACACCAGUGGCGAAAGCGCUCUACUGGGCCUGCACUGACACUGAGGGACGAAAGCGUGGGGAGCAA